RNA transcript from Phyllopteryx taeniolatus (common seadragon), 7146 nucleotides. It is a transcript of the gene named BCL9 transcription coactivator, with no coding region annotated. The transcript is spliced from 11 exons. Lineage: Eukaryota; Metazoa; Chordata; Actinopteri; Syngnathiformes; Syngnathidae. The record is from RefSeq and is a predicted model, not a curated record.
AAAAAAAAAAAAAAAAAGAAGCUCUUUAGUGUGAUUUGUACACGGCGGCGGUGAGAGAUUAUAAAGGCCCUGCGCCUUCUCAUUUUAAUUGUUACAUUGUUAACAGAGCUAGCAUAACUUGAGCAACGCACGCCCGCCGACCGAAGGCCCUCACACGGGGGGCUUUUAUUUUAUGAAGCCACGGUGAGACCGUGAAGGCACCCCCCCCCGUGUUGCGUUUGUGGUCCGGCGAGACGUCGUUGUUCCCUUGCGUCCAGUGACCUCCCUCUUCGGAGGAAGACUUUGUUUGCGCUGGCCAAGAGGCUCCAUGAAUGCUCGAGUCCUCCCUUCCCCCCAUCACCUCACCCCCACCACAGCAGUAGCUCUGUGGCGAAACAGGAACAACUUCUUUUUUUAGGGGAAAAAAUGGGGGAAAAAAAAAAAAGUUCCUGGAGUUUUUCAAGCGCUACUGGCUCGACCAUUUUUUUCUUUUUCUUUUUUUUUGGUAUCUGCCAGGAGUUGUCCAAGUGGGGCGCUGAGAUUUAAUGGGGAGGGGUGUGAAUGACUUGUGGCUGUAGGGUGUCGUGAGUGGGCCAGCUUCCUGCAAGUCCACACGCUCGCGCGCACACACCCGCCCUCCAAAGGGGGAGGGGGCUCACUGCGAGGGCUCCGGUGGAGAGCACACAUCAGUGCCCAGGGGACCUGAGGCUUGGUGCUCCAUAUGAGGCCCUGCUCAAAGGGCAGGGGGGGCUUCUGAGUGUGCCCGAGGGCCAUUGAAAGCCCCCUUGAGGAGUUUCAUAAAUACACAGUGAACGAGAAAAGACUCCUGGACUAUUGUUAUUGUUUUUACCCGUUUUCUCUUUCGCACAAACACACCACACACAUACAUACAGGGGCGGGCGCACACACUCACACAGACAAGGAGACGUAAAGGAGAAUGUUGGAGGUCCAAGAGGAGAGGCCAGCGGCGGCAGGUACAGCAGCGACACAUUUCAGUAAGAAGGAGCGCGGCAAGAAGGAGCGAGAGGAGGCCAAGGACGGACGGGGGAACCUCAGCAACCUCGGGAAUCCAGGCUCCAGGAACGUCCGUGCCAAGGCGCCGCUCGCACACGCGGGCAGUCCACACCAGCACCUCACUUCGCCCUGUUCUGUCGUACUGGUAACCCCAUCAAUGCACUCCAAUAGGCUAAAGAACUCCCCAUCCACCAACACACAAAGCCCUAAACCUAAGACGGAGGCCAUGGUACGCUCACCUCCCGUCAUGUCCCCCUCCACUGCCUCCCAGAUGGACUCUAAAAUGCCCAAUCAGGGUAAACCAGGGAGCGCUGGCAGCCAAUCGCAGCCCUCGCCCUGUGAUCCCAAGACUCUGGGUGCCAAAGGAGCACAAAGCGUGGCAGGGGGCAUCGGGCUGAAGAAUGGCCAGAGCUUGACCUCCGGCACCAGCUCCAAAGUGAAAGUGAAAAGGGAGCGAAGCACAUCGGUGGAAUCGUUCGAACAGCCGGAGAGCGGAACGCCCACGAGUGACGAGAAAGACAGUAGCAGAGUGAAAAGGAUGUGUGUGGCGGAGAGGAGGCAGCCUUACAGUGGAGCCGACUGGUGCUCCGGGGGAGAAAGUGACGAAGAUGACAAAGGAUUCUUCAACUGUAACUCCAGUGACGUGAAGCCGCCAGAUUCUGUCACCCAUUCUACCUCCAACGCUGGUCUCAGCCGCUCAUCCACACCCUCCCACAAUUUACUGGGAGGCCAGGGCUCCACGACGGAACCUGCGAGUGGCCAGAAACCAGGCUCCAAACUAGUCUAUGUCUUCACCACAGAGAUGGCUAACAAGGCAGCUGAUGCAGUUUUGACUGGCCAUACAGAAAACAUCAUCACCUUCCACAUGAAAAACAUCUCCAACGGCAAAGACAAAGCUCACCUCCUCCUGAACAAUGCCGCAAACACCCUCCGAAAUGACUCCAAGCCUUCCCAGCAAACGCCGUCCCAUGGCCUAGAUCAGAGCCACCUGCCUGGAUCCAAGCCGUCCUUAACGGGCAUGGCAGAGCCAGCCCCGCCCCAGUCCACAAACCAGGGAAGCCAGUCUGGCAUUCUUCCACAGGAUGGCUCAUCCACCCAAGGCAUUGAAUCAAAAAAUCUUCCCAGCAGUAGCCCCAGCAACAACGCAGGCCCUAAUGACCAGACACCCAUGAGCCAACCUGAGGCAGGCCUCAACGCUCCCACAGCAGGUGACGUAGGGCAGGGCGUAGGCCCCGGGGGACCGGGCCUGACGCCUCAGCAACAGCAGCAACAGUUGGCUCAGGAGCUUUUAAAUAUGGAGGCCAAUACAGAGGGUCUGUCCCAAGAACAGUUGGAGCAUCGCCAGCGCUCACUGCAGACAUUGCGAGACAUCCAGCGCAUGCUUUUCCCAGAUGACCGCGACGCACCACCCCCUGGGCCUCCACAGUCCCACGGUGGGCCCCACGACGGAGGCCCUGACUGUCCUCCCCGGAGGUCUGAGCCAGGCCCUUUGCAGGCCAUGAUUGCACAAUCUCAAAGCCUUGGACCACCAGGUGGGCCAGGAGGACCUCGCCCACAAGGGCCACCCUUUGGACCUCCUCACGGUCCCAGAGACAUGCCCCCUUUUCCGCAGGAUGAAAUGGGUCCUCACAUGGGAGGCCCGGGUGGCUGUGGAGACGGUGAUCAAAUGACCCCAGAACAGGUGGCGUGGUUGAAGUUACAGCAGGAGUUUUAUGAGGAGAAGAGGAAGAAACAAGAAAUGCAACACCGGCCACUUCCUCCAGACAUGAUGAUGCACCCCCAUGGUCCACGUGCCAUGAUACGAGGACCUCCACCGCCCUAUCAGAUGGGCCCAGGAGAGAUGUGGGGAGGACCAAGUGGGCCACAAGACCCUUACCCAGAACGCAUGGGCAUGGGCCCUGGCCCUGGUCCAAGAGGCAUUCCCCCUCAUAUGCAGAGGAUGCCUGGCUUCUCAGGAAUGAUCAAUCCUGAGAUGGAGGGCCCCCCGCGGCCCGGAAUGGGGUGGCCUGACGACAUGCCACCUCGUAUGGGAGAUGCACGAGGGUUUCCUGGUGGUCCGGGGGCCAUGUUUUCUGGCCCGGGUGGUCGAGGGGAGCGCUUCCCAAACCCUCAGUCAGUCCAAGAAGCAAUGUUCCACCAAGGUAUGGGCGGAGAGAAGGGCCUUCCCCCUGGUAUGAUGAUGGACAUGCAAAGGAUGAUGGGCCACGGCCACCAAAGAGGUGGAAUGGAACCCGGUAAUGGCAUGGGUAUGUUUCCAAGAAUGCCUGGUGACGGUCCUAUGAGUCCAUCGUCAAGGCUCCAGGGAAUGGGCGGUCGAGAAAUGGGUCCCGAGUUCGGCAUGGGGCCUGGUCCUGGGCCAGGACCUCACAUGCACCCUUCCAAGCUACGAGAUCCUCCAAUGAACUUGAGUCCAGAUGAGAUAAUGAGAAUGAGAGGAGGCCCUCCCAUGGAAAACAUGGCUGCGCAGGGCAGGGCAAUGCAAGGGCCGCCCUUCCCUGAGCAGCCGCAACCUGGAGAUUUUCCUAUGGGGCCUGGGCGACCUUUCCCAGGGGGUCCCGGAGGAAUGAGAGGCCCACAUGGAGAGCAACCGUUUGGCCCAGAACACAGAGCAACACCAACGGGAGGCAAUGGUCGCAUGAACCACCUCCCCCCCAAUUCUGGCCCUCCACAGGGCCAAAGAGGGCGCAAGCCAGCAGAUCUGAAUGUUCAAGCAGGUGGGAGCAACUCUCCUAACGUCAACCCACUAAAGUCCCCACCUCUGAGGCAGGUGCAGUCACCUAUGAUGGGCUCGCCCUCCGGAAACCUCAAAUCACCCCAGACACCAUCCCAGCUAGCUGGCAUGCUCACGGGUCCCACGGGCCCCCAGGCCCCUCCAGCACCCCCAUCGUCUGCGCCAAUGAAGUCACCGCACUCCAUGAUGGGAUCGGCGGGAGCCUCCCCCGUUCACAUGAGGUCUCCUUCUCUUCCUAACCCCUCGCCGGGAUGGGCCUCCUCGCCGAAGCCGCCCAUGCAGAGUCCUGGAGUGCCACAACAAGGUGGCAAGCCCCCCCUCAGUCUCACCUCACCAAACAUGAUGGGGAACAUGGAGCAAGGUGGUAAUGGCCCUGCCUCUGCCCCGCCUUCAUCCGGCGCACCGUCCGGCCCCAUGUCCCUCCCAGGCAACGUGCCGACGGGCAGCCCUUACACCAUCCCGCCCGAGCCCACACUCUCCCAGAACCCGCUUUCCAUCAUGAUGUCGCGCAUGUCUAAGUUCGCCAUGCCCAGUUCCACGCCGCUCUACCAUGACGCCAUCAAGACUGUCGCCAGCUCAGAUGAUGACUCGCCCCCGGCGCGCUCCCCUAACCUGCCUUCAGUCAACAACAAUGGUAUGCCGAUGAACCACCAAGGCAAUCCCCGAAUGAUGGGCCCUGGUAACUCUGGACCCAUGCCAGCCCUCAGCCCACUAGGUAUGAACCCAAUGGGAUCCCAGCCCCUCUCACACGGAAUGCCACCACAAAUGCCCUCUCCUAAUGCCCCUAACAUGGGCCCUGGUAUGAUUCCUCACGGCAUGAUGAUCCCCCCUAACCCACAAGACCCCGGGAUGGCCAACCCACAAAUGAUGCCCCAGGGACGUCUGGGUUACCCCCACCGAAACCAGGGUUACCCGCUUACCCAGUCCCCGUCUCAGCAGGGCCCUUUCUCCCCGCACAACGGGCCCGGGCACCAAGGUUUCCCCGGUCAUCCCAUGGGCUUCCAGGUAGAAGGAGGGCCAAUGGGAGGACGGAUGGGGAACAUGCCUCACGGGGGAGGGCCGGACGGAGGCAUGUGCAAGCCAAACACCCCCGGCGGACCAGAGUUCAACAACAUGCAAGGCGGGUUCAGCGAGGCGGACCUUCACGAGGUGAUGCGGCCGGGAGCGUCCGGCAUUCCCGAGUUCGACCUAUCCAGGAUUAUCCCGUCGGAAAAACCCAGCCAGACUUUGUCCUACUUCCCUCGUGGCGGAGGAGACAACCCUGGAGGCAAACCGCCGCACCCCUCCGGCUUCCCCAUGCAGGCCAUGAUGAGCGACGGCCCUCCGAGAAUGGGAAUGCCCAUGCAGGGGAUGGGUGGGAUGCCGGGGGUGCCCGGUGGGGGGAUGGGCCCCCAAGACAUGCCAAUAGGCAACCCUGGCCAAAACCCCAUGCGCCCCCCGGGGUUCAUGGGCCAAGGCAUGAUGGGCCACCAACCCCGGAUGAUGUCCCCGGGUGGUCCCGGGGGAAUGAUGCAGGGGCGGCAAAUGGCCCACCCCGGACCGGUUGGCUCCCCUAACAUGAUGAUGUCACUGCAGGGCAUGGGCGGCCCCCCGCAGCAGACAAUGAUGAUGGGGGGGCAGAUGAGGCCGCGUGACAUGGACAUGGGCUUCAGUCCGGGCCCUGGAAUGUUCUAAUCGGGGAAACUUUGUAUCCAGAAUGUUCUGGGACUUUGGGGUCUUUGUACGUGGGAGGCGCUAAGUGAGGAAGUAUUAUCCAAACAAAGUGGAUGUACCCCGGAAUCAACUGAACGGAGACGCCCUGUCACGUCACGCUCGUGGACUGCGGGGACUUUUUCCCAAUGGAAGUGGGAGUACUUUUUGCCACAAGAACAAUUUGGACUUACGAACUUCAGAAUGUAUGGAAUUGUUGUGCAAAGUUUUUGUGUUUUUUGGGGACUUAUCAUGAGGAGUUGGACAUCAAAGAUGACAGUAUAUGUUAGCUUUCUUUUCCUCUUCCCCGAAUUAAGAACAAAACAAAAAAAUAAUGGAUGCGGUAUGGAACAGGAUCGAACAGGAACAGGAUCGAGAAGAAUUAGUGCUUUGUGAGGUCUUGGGUGGAAUUACACGUUGUCUCCAUUGUUUUUGACUGUUUCUGUACAGUAUAUAUGUGAGCGUGUGUGGUAUGAGCGUGUGUGUGUAUAGGCAUUCUAUCAGUGACCUCUCGACUCCUCUUACCCGACUUUACUUGGGGGGCCGGGGGGGAGCGCCCCCCCCAUCCCCUUAAAAACAUACUGUACUGUUUACCAUUGGUGGGCUAUUCGAAUAUUAGUCUAUUUUAAUUUCCUUUGUUAACUCCAGUGUAUAACAAACCAAACUAUGACCUCAUUAAGAUAAUAGUAUUAUUAAAAAAAAGAAAAAAAAAAAAAAAGACAAAAAGCACAAACAUGGACUGUCUGCCGGAAGCGUCUUCUUUUUCUUUUUAACCACAUGAAGUGUGUGGGGGGUGGGGGUCUUUGCAGCACACAAUUAACACAUGAUUACAAGUUGUGCUCCAAAACUUCCAGGACUUCUUUAGCCAGCGUGAAUCCUAUUGCUAAUACCCAGAUGUGCUAUGUGUGUUCUUGUUCCUGUUUUUACUUUUGUUUUUUUUGGGGGGGCGGGGGGGGGGUUGUUGUUUUUUGACUCUUGUUGACUCUGGGUAAAUCAUUCCCACAGCAAUAAUCCCUCCCCCCUCCCUCCAAGGGUCCUCAGAGUGGAGUGGGCUUGAUGCCGAAUCGAGGUAUGUCAGGUAACAUAGAAAUAGAGUUAGCUAGAUCUGGUGUAACGAUAUCAAAAGCGAGGCCGCGAGCGAGACGCCAAUGUAAACGCGCACUGCUUUUUACCAUCCAGUUGACUUCCUCUCUCUUUUUCUCUGUUGUAUAAGCUUGUCAUGUGUUUCUCCGUUGGCUUUGGUGCAAAUAGUCUACCAGGGCUGUGGUGAUGGACUACAAAUAAAAGAUAUUGUUUUGGAUACCGGUGACGGCAAAGAGUGAUGAUAGGCAUAGAACAGAAAAUGGAAAUUACAGCGACAUAGGAAAGCAUCUGGCUGCUCAGCACAAUAUGACCAGUCGGUAGGUGAUGCUUUAUUGAUCCCGUAGGACCAGAAGCAGGUAUAAACUUAAAUAUACAGGGUGAUUGAAACGUAACUCCCUAUUUUAAAAUACUUAUAAUUUAUUCAUGUUAUAAUAUUUUUCUCCAUUUUUUUGUGUAUGUUCCAUGAUUAAAGGAGCAAGUCUAUUCUACCAAACCAACGACUUUGGAAGAACUUGAAGGGCGAGUACGAGAAGUUAUGUCUUCCAUCCCACAAGAGUUCCUUGUGAAAUCAGUUAAUGUGGUUCCCAGGCAGCUUGAGAAACUGGUGGCUAAUGCUGUCGCCCAUAUCAAAUAAAACUCCAUGCAAUACA